CGUCUUAUAAUUUAUAUAGAAUAUCAAAUUGCAAAUUUGAGUGAAGGUAAAACCUUGGGACUU
This 63-nucleotide transfer RNA is filed under the name Dreissena polymorpha. Its description in RNAcentral is "tRNA-Cys". The record is from RNAcentral. Lineage: Eukaryota; Metazoa; Mollusca; Bivalvia; Myida; Dreissenidae.